Molecule: transfer RNA, 68 nt
Filed under: Renocera pallida
Lineage: Eukaryota; Metazoa; Arthropoda; Insecta; Diptera; Sciomyzidae
Description: tRNA-Ser
Source: RNAcentral
AGCUAAUGAGCUUGAAUAAGCUUAUGUCUUGAAUACAUAAGAUAGAAUCAUUGAUAUUCUAUUGGCUU